Octopus sinensis (East Asian common octopus) is the source of this 140-nucleotide small nuclear RNA. RefSeq annotates it as U4 spliceosomal RNA. Lineage: Eukaryota; Metazoa; Mollusca; Cephalopoda; Octopoda; Octopodidae. The record is from RefSeq and is a predicted model, not a curated record. The transcript has a single exon.
AUAGUUGCGUAAUGUAAUUUUCCUAGCCAAUGAGGGUUAUCCGAGGCAACGUUAUUGCUAGUUGAAAAUUAUUAUUAUUAUCAUUAUUAUUAUUAGUAGUAGUAGUAGUAUUUUUUGAUGAACUGGUGUUUAUCAUCAGU